UAUUAUUUAGAAACAAUUAUUUAUAUAUUUUUGAAAAAAUUUCGACUUUUUGAUUUAUUUUUCUCAGAAGAAUUUUUACGUUUCAAGUUAUUUCAAAUAUAUCUUUAGAGUGAAAUUCUGUUAGUGAACUGUUAGCAAUUAGUUGUUCUGUGAAAUUGCCAUUUUGCCUUUUUAAAUAUACUCUUCUAUCAUCACUAACUUUUCUUAUUUGCCCUUAAGUUGGGGGUAAACUGGUAAAGAACUAUUUUGAUUUUUUGAUUUUUUCAAAUAUAUCCCUCUACUAUUACCAGCUUUUCUUAUUUAUCCUUAACUUUGGUAGAUAUUUAACUUACGUUUAACUUGAUAUAACUUAACGGAUAGUAAUUACGGGUGUAUUUUUAAUAACGGGGGAACAUAUGAGAGGUAUAUUGGAAAUAAAAAAAGGUAGGAGUAAAUUAGAUAUUUUUGAAAUUUUGAGAGGUAUAUAGGCAAUUAUUCAUGUUAUUUAAAUUAGGUAUAAAAGUGCAGAAUCUAUCUGAAUUAUAGAUUAUUUUGAAUUAAUUAUUUAAUCUUUCAAAAUCUUAAUUUUACUAUCUGAACUUUCGAUUAUUUGAUUUGUGUCAGUCACGACACUUUGAUUCAAAAUUUAAACUAGUUACUUACUUUAAUGAAUUUAUAGUUACGAGAAUUAUAUAAGGUAUAUUAACUAACUAUAUAAAGAUAAACGAUGUAUUCAAAUAAGCUCAGCUAAAAAUAUAAAGCGACUAAACUUAAACAUGUAACCUUGAGUACCAAUCAUUAAACCAUUAGCCAACUGCAUUAAAUACGAUCAGUAAUAGAAUUGAGAAAUUAUUUUUAACUUUUUAAUAUUUAAAAAUAAUUGGUAUAUAAAUUAGUAAAAUUUACACUCACUUUUUAAGCGUACAAAUAACAUUCCUAUGAUGAAAACAA
Molecule: long non-coding RNA, 930 nt
Filed under: Ananas comosus (pineapple)
Lineage: Eukaryota; Viridiplantae; Streptophyta; Magnoliopsida; Poales; Bromeliaceae
Description: long non-coding RNA (ACOM_LNC028881)
Source: RNAcentral